Quercus robur (English oak) is the source of this 1893-nucleotide long non-coding RNA. RefSeq lists it as uncharacterized. NCBI's taxonomy places the organism in Eukaryota, Viridiplantae, Streptophyta, Magnoliopsida, Fagales, Fagaceae. The transcript has 2 exons. The record is from RefSeq and is a predicted model, not a curated record.
UGCAAGGAAUUAUUUUGGUAGAAAAGUAAGUGUGAAUGCAAAGAUUUUAUAUAUAUAUAUAUAUAUAUAUAUAUAUAAGUGUGAAUGCAAGAAAAUUGGAAAAAGUGGGUGAGAUAUUUGUUUUUCCCUAGCCAUACACGUAUCCAAGCCCCAAAAGUCUUCUUACUUUUCUGAUUUUCUUGGCUGCUCCCUGAAGUCCAGCAGCUGCUUUUCUUCUUUCUCUAUUUUUCCCUUUCUUUGUUCUUCUUUCUUCUUCCUUCCUUACACGGCAACAUCUCUCCCUUCCUUCCUCACCAAAAAUUCUAGUUUCUUUAAAGAAGAAAUUAAACAAUUAGCCUUAAGGUUUCAUCUUCAAAGUGUGUGGGUGUUACCAGUAUCCAAGUCUAAGCUCCUUCGACUUUAGGCUCUCGGUUCUUCUGCUCUCAGGUAAGGGAUAAGUUAUAUGAGUAUUUGGUAAGUCAUGAGGUUAUUUUAAAGUAUAUUAUGCAUUAAAAUGUUUUUGGAUUAGAGAUAUGGCAUGUAAUCAUUAUUCUGACAAAGUUAUGUUCGUGAGCUUUCGAAAAACUUAUGUAUAUGAUUUAAGCAUAUUGAAACUAUUAUUGAUUCCACGAACAUGAUGUUUAAUGAAAAGAAUGGAAAUGUUAUUAUUAUGAAAUGUUAUGCAAAAUAAGAAGUUUCAGUAUGAUGUAAAAGUAUGAAAUGUUUUCGGGUUAUAUCCUCUGAUAAUUUGAACUCAGCCAGUAGGGGUUAAUUAUUGGCUUUCCAUGGAAAAAUGUUAUCUGUUUGGCCAUUUAAAGUAGAGGAAAUGGGGCUGCCCGUAACUCUAGGCCAUUUAAAGUAGAGGAAAUGGGGUUGCCCGUAACUCUAAUCUGAUUAAGGUCUUCUCCCCAAUGUGUACGGACGGCGGGGAGGAACAAAACCUGGAGGGGAUGUGCCAUCAGGCCUCCCAAAGGGGACAAUAUCAUACACACGGGGGCACCCAAAUGUGAUGAGGCCUUCUCUGUACAGCUUAUCAGACAUGGACUAACCAAUAUGUUAUGAACAGCUAUGUUAUGUUAUAAAUCAUGAGAGAAUUCUUUUGUUUAAAUGCAUUAUGAAAAGUUAAAAGCUCUCAUGAAAAUAAGAAUUUUCUAAUGAAAAGAAAGUUGUUCAUUAAAGAUAAAAGUUUAUGAAGUUCUGUUGUGCUAUAAAGAUAAAGUUUCUAAUGAAAGUACAAGUUUAUGUUUAAAGUUAUCAGAUAUCUGUUUUUUUAUGAAACGUUAAGUUUUAUGAUCAUGAAAGUUAUAGUAUCCUAUGAGAAGAAGUUUAUAAAGAAAAGUUUUCUUAUCAGUCAAGAUGUUUCUAGUUUAAUACAAAGUUGCCGAUUAUCUGAUUUAAGUUAAAAUAAUUAUUUUUUUAUGAGAAUAUAUACAUGGUGACUCUGUAGGAAAUGAAAGAAGUUUAAUCCGAAAGGUUUUGGUAAUAUUAUUCUGAUAAGAAAAGGGAGAACAAUUAUUUUCCUAUGAAAAGCGUAUAAGUUAUUAUUCUGAAUAGUAUAAAAUACUAUGCAUGGAAAGCUGUUCUCCUAUUUGAUUAUGCAUAGAAUGAAAUGAUUUGAUUUACAUGCAUCCUUAUUGAAUUCUCAUAUUUCUUACCUUUACUGAGCUGUGUAGCUCACCCCUUCCACUCUUUCAGUUAGCAGGUUUUAUUUUGGAGCAGAGAGAGCCUUAGUCAAGUUUUGAAAGGAGCUGGUUUUAGUUUGAUAUGUAUAAAUCCUAAAUUAGCAUUCUGACGUUUAGCUAGCUUUAUAGUUAUUGUGUAUUUUAGGAUCAAAUGAAAGUUGUGUAUACCUUAAAGUAUCAAGCUAUGUAUUAUGUAAAAGUGUGGAAAUUAAAUGAUUGGUGGAUUAUGUUA